This is a non-coding RNA of Pangasius djambal, 73 nucleotides long. The record is from the annotation of a GenBank genome assembly. NCBI's taxonomy places the organism in Eukaryota, Metazoa, Chordata, Actinopteri, Siluriformes, Pangasiidae.
CCCUGGAAGACUAGUGGUUAGUUCACAGCGCUUUAACUAUUGCGGCCCGGGUUCGAUUCCCAGCCUCUGGGGU